This 466-nucleotide ribosomal RNA is filed under the name uncultured bacterium. RNAcentral describes it as "partial 16S ribosomal RNA". It matches the Rfam family "Bacterial small subunit ribosomal RNA", at positions 28 to 507 of the family's 1533-position model. The record is from RNAcentral.
GAUGAACGCUGGCGGCGUGCUUAACACAUGCAAGUCGAACGGAAAGGCUCCUGCUUGCAGGGGUACUCGAGUGGCGAACGGGUGAGUAACACGUGGGUGAUCUGCCCUGCACUUCGGGAUAAGCCUGGGAAACUGGGUCUAAUACCGGAUAGGACGAUGGUUUGGAUGCCAUUGUGGAAAGUUUUUUCGGUGUGGGAUGAGCUCGCGGCCUAUCAGCUUGUUGGUGGGGUAAUGGCCUACCAAGGCGUCGACGGGUAGCCGGCCUGAGAGGGUGUACGGCCACAUUGGGACUGAAGUACGGCCCAGACUCCUACGGGGGGCAGCAGUGGGGAAUAUUGCACAAUGGGCGCAAGCCUGAUGCAGCGACGCCGCGUGGGGGAUGACGGCCUUCGGGUUGUAAACUCCUUUCGCUAGGGACGAAGCGCGAGUGACGGUACCUGGAGAAGAAGCACCGGCUAACUACGUG